GAUCAGACAAGCAGCCCGAACAACAAAGCAGCACAGCGGCCGGGACCCUUGGGUUUCGGAGGAGCGAGAGGCGCGCGGAUCCCCGGCCGAGGCCCUGCGCUGCCUGCGGCUGCGGCGCGGGUCGGGCUGGCCUCGGCUCCACCUCCCCGAGGCACCGGGCGACCCCGCAACGGGGCCCAUUUCCCGCAGCUCCGCGCCGCAGCCGCGCGGGUCGCAAGGUCCCGCAGGGGCGCCGCCUCGGGCAGGGGCCGCCACGAAGCCCGUGGGCCGCCGCGAGAUGCGGGGUCCGCGCUUUCCGGGCCCUCCGCAGCCUUCGGGAGGAGCCGGGGGAGGUGCGGGCGCCCAACUCUCGGAGGCCGCCACCCUCCGGAAUGCUCCCGCGCCCGCCCCGCAGAAGUGCGGCGAAACUUUUGGCAGAAACCACCUGUGGCUGCCGACGGGCCCGCCCCGCCCCGGCCCGCCCCGGCCCGCCCCGGCCCGCAGACGCCGCCGCGCCCGGGCCCGCACGCGCCCGCACAAGUUCCCCGCCGCCCCGCGCGCCACUUCGCUCCGGCCGCGGUGCCAGCCAGGAGGCGCGGCGCCCGCUCGCCGGCUCCCCCCUCCUCCCUGCCUCCUCCCCCGCUCCUCCCGCUGCAUGGCGGCCGCCCCGAGCCCCGAAGGGCCGGCGCAGCCCCCAGCCCCCUGCCCCCUGCCCCCGCCGGCGCCCCGGGGCGCGCAGCCCGCCGGCCUCCUAGCACCAGCCCCGGGACGGCGCUCCGGCUGCGGCGGAGGGGAGCCACCCUGCCCCGGGAGCCCCGCGAGCCCCGCGAGCCCCUGCCCCGCCUCGGCCGCCGACGUGCGGCGGAGACCGUGACCCCCACCGCCACUCACCUCUGCGCGCCGCCGGCCCCGCGCGCCUCCCGCACUUGGCGCCGGGCCGCGGUCCUCGCGUCCGCCUCCGCCUCCGCCUCCGCCGCCUCCGCCGCCUCCGCCGCCGCCGCGCUCCGUGCCGCGCUCCGUGCCGCGCUCCGUGCCGCGCUCCGUGCCGCGCUCCGUGCCUGUGCGCCCGAGGAGCGCGGGCCGCGCGCUGUCAGAGUCUCGUGGCGGGGCUGCGCCGGCGGGUGUGGAGCCGAGCGGCGGCGGCGGGCGCGCGGGCAGCUCCUCCCUCCCCGCCGCGCCUCCGCCCUCCUCGCGCCCCGCCUCCCGCGCCGCGGCUGUCAGCUCCGCGCCCCGCGCCCCCCGCGUCCCCCGCGCGCCCCGCGCGCCCCGCGCCCCCCGCGCCCCGCGCGCCCCGCGCGCCCCGCGCCCCCCGCUCCGGGGGCGCACGGGGCGGAAGGGCCCGGAUGUCCCCGGCCGCCUCCCCGGCGCCCCCUCCGCGCCCGCCGCUCUCGCACUUGCUGCGCCCCGACCUCCUCCCCGGCUCCGCGGAAUCCCUCUGUGGACAGAGACUGCAGCGGGGGCGGCGGGGCCCGGGGGCGGGGGCGGGGGCGGCCGGCGGGGCCCGGCGCGGGGGCGGGGUGGGGGCCGGCAGAGCCGCCAUCCGCUGGGGCUUUUUCUCGCUUUCCUUUUUUCUCUUUGCCUCCUCCAGGAUUUAAAGGGACAGCCCCGGCCGAGGCGAGGGGCCGGCGGCCGCCGUUCCCCGGUCUCCAGACGCCCUCUGCGGCCGGCCGGACCCGCCCGCGCCCGGAGCCCGGGCCCCCGACCGCCGACCGCCACCGCCACCGCCACCGCCACCGCCACCGCCACCGCCGGUAUUUUUAG
This 1740-nucleotide long non-coding RNA is filed under the name Canis lupus familiaris (dog). Its description in RNAcentral is "lncRNA (ENSCAFG00040015079.1)". Lineage: Eukaryota; Metazoa; Chordata; Mammalia; Carnivora; Canidae. The record is from RNAcentral.